CUAAAAGGAACGAUCGUUGUGAUAUGCGUUAACUGAUCGUUACAUAUCACAGUGAUUUUCCUUUAUAGCG
Molecule: microRNA precursor, 70 nt
Filed under: Drosophila busckii
Lineage: Eukaryota; Metazoa; Arthropoda; Insecta; Diptera; Drosophilidae
Description: mir-5 microRNA precursor family
Rfam family: mir-5 microRNA precursor family
Source: Rfam by way of RNAcentral